ACUGCUCAGCUGAACCCGAAGCUUGAUGAAGAAGGCCGUCAAUAUUUCAACAAAAACUAACAGAAUAUGGAUCAGAUUCGGACAACGACUUCUUAAGACAUUCACACAACAGGCUAAACAAUUCAAAGAGGGAUCUCUGGAUGAUCGAGCAGCAAGUCCAGCAUUAUGUGGGAAAGAUACUACAGGUGUACACAGAAAAGGCCAUGUUCUUGUACAAGACACGGUUGGAGUUCAUAAAAGAUUAAGCUGCCUCGUGCUAUACAGACUUGGAUAAAAACAAGCUGUCCAAUGAAUGGUGACUACUCAAGAGGAGCCAGAAAGUCAACUAAAGCCAGGGUAUUUUGGGAGUUGAUAUGGCCGGGGAAGGGGGGAGGGGGGGUUUCCAGGGCCCCCCCCCUUCCUUGAGAUCUUGACCGCACAAUCGCGUCUAACAUUGGCACAUGGGUUGUCUAGGGCAUAAUUUACAAAAUUAAAUUGUAAAUUAUUUCACGCAAAUUGUUAGUAAGUGAUAAUACUAAUUUAUGCGUAAUUAGAAUACAAAAUCAUACUUUUUCCUCUAUUGCAUUGACUUUGUACACAAAAUCACGUUUUUGAGCAAUUUUUGGUAUGACAUGUACUUACAUAAUGUCACGUUAUUACAGAACCACGUACCGGGUGACACAAGAUUGGUCUCAAAAGAUGCACAAGACUAGAAAGAGGCAUGUUUUAAAAAAAUUGUGCGACAGCAUGGUCGCAAAAUUUUUGGAAGGGGGGGAGGGUCAAAUUGGUCCAAUUUAACUAAGGGUUAAUAACUGGGAGGCUGUUAGCUGCCUUUUUACUUUCAAGUCUUGCACAUCUUUUGAGACCAAAUUUGUGAUGCCUGGGUACGCUGUUCCGAAAUUUCGCAACAUUUUUAUGUAUUAAUCCAACACAAAUACUGUUUCUUGCUAAAAAUUCACAAUUAGUAUACCAGUAAUAUACAUUUAUCAAGUCAAAUUAUUUAAUUACAUUUAUAAUCAUAAAAGCUUUGAUAAAGUAAAAAAAACAACAAAGAGUUGUAUGUAGGCCUGGGACUUUCGGGUUUUUUCUCUUCGGGUACCCGUGGUAAUUUUUGGGUGGGUACCUGAAAAUCAUGUCACUUGAAAUAUGACUGGUGGAAAAACCCCAUAGGUGACGUCAUCAAGCCAAUGCGAUGCAAGCCAAUUUAUGAAUGAAAAUAUAGUAAGCAUGCGCAUUGCAAGCCUCCCGUGCCCCACGCAGUAUUCCAUCGAAACAAGUUUCAAUACUCUGUCACCUCGUACCAAAAUCGACCUAGAAUUCCACUUUCCUAUAUAUCAUAUGAAUUAUAAAAGGUUUUCUCACCGAUACUGCACAGGUAAGCAAAUUUUUAUUCUUGCUUUUCCGUCAAAAUCUUACGAAGUAGCAUCGAUAUUACAUCGUGUUCGUGAGUUUGUAUCGCUACGUGAACAAAGUCAAUUGAUUUCCGGGUUUCGGAGCGUCAAAUGCGCCAGCCAAUCACGAUCGUGUUCCCAUUUUCGGUUUAUGAUGAACUAAAAAUGGUAACAAGAACGUGAUUGGCUGGUGCUUCGUAGGUCGAUUUUGGUAUGAGGUGACAGAGUAUUGCAGACUUGUUUUGACGUAAUACUGCGUGGGGCUGAGGCUUGCAAUGCGCAUGCUUACUAUAUUUUCAUUCAUAAAUUGGUUUGCGUCGCAGUGGCUGGAUGACGUCACUGCACUGCAAAAGAAACAUGGCGAUGAUUGAACGAUCUCGGUCACAUCAUCAUCACUUGAAAACUUGUAUAUUUAUGGAUAUUUAGAGGGUAAUUGGUGAAAUUCAAAAUGAGGCUUGUGUACUUUUGUAAUGAGUUACAAUCAUGUCUUACACUACGCAAUACAAAUCAAAUACAUGUACAUUAUACUGGUGAGCAAUUUUCGGGUAUCGGGUAUUGAUUUUUCUACUCGGGUACCCGGGUUUUAGUCCCAGCCCUAGUUGUAUGAAAAUUUUCAAAAAUAAUGAAAGGUAAAAGAAAACAAGAUUACAAUGUCCAUUGCAAGGGGGCUAGUCUAGCUAUUCAGGAUAAUUGGGAUUUUAUUCAGUUUUUAAUUGACAUAACAUUAUGACAAGAUCCCUCCAUUUAGUGUAUAAACAGCACAUGGCCAUGAUUGAAAUUCAUAUAACAUUAAAGUAUGCAAACCAGGCAGCUACAUGUACAUGUAGGACUCACUGCUUGUCAAUUCUAUUGUCUGCCAGGGUCAAGUGACAUACAGUGCACAUGUAUAACAUGUGUGAAAGUACAUAAGAAAAUCAGCUUUUUAUUUUUGUACUGUAACAUUGGGUGAACUGGUGAUCACUUUGGAUAUGAUGCUCUUUAUAUUGGUUUAUUUUAUGUAUAUGAAUUUUUGGAUAAUCAUUAAGAAUUAAAGCCAUUUACUUAAUAUAUGGAAGCAUAAGCCCAUCAAAGAACAGAAUUAUGUCAUGUACAGCUAAUUCAUUUUGCGUGAUAUUACAAUUGUAAUUGUUUACUUGAGCAAGUAAUUUGAAUUGCUGCAUGACCUAAACAAUGACAUGUUCCAAUUCGAAUAGUAACAUAAGGUUCAUAAGGUUCAUAAGGUAGUAUUUAUUGUCCAGAUAAAUAAAUAAGUGGAAAUUUGCAUUUUUACAUGGUAUUGAACAUACAUAGCAUAGCAUAGAAAAUGAACAUAUUUACAGAAAAUCAAACAAUCACAUAUAGUCAAUUAUGAUAUACACGUGCAAAUGCUACCCCCUGGGUAGCAUUUGAAAAAAAUACUGUUAUUGACAUUAAAAUUAAGAUUGAAAUGGAAAUCUGAACUGAAAGUUAGAUAUCGGAAAUUGAAUUGAAAUUACAUUAGA
Lytechinus pictus (painted urchin) is the source of this 2851-nucleotide long non-coding RNA. RefSeq lists it as uncharacterized. The record is from RefSeq and is a predicted model, not a curated record. The transcript is spliced from 3 exons. NCBI's taxonomy places the organism in Eukaryota, Metazoa, Echinodermata, Echinoidea, Temnopleuroida, Toxopneustidae.